Long non-coding RNA from Bradysia coprophila, 281 nucleotides. NCBI's taxonomy places the organism in Eukaryota, Metazoa, Arthropoda, Insecta, Diptera, Sciaridae. The record is from RefSeq and is a predicted model, not a curated record.
GUAGCUACAUGGUGAAGUUGUCGAGGGAAGCCAUUUCAACACGAAUUAGCUUAGAAUUAGUCCCUCUAUCCGUUGUGAUAACAAUCUGUAUUCAAAUUGACUCGUCGGUCCCGCACGGCCAUGAGUGCCGGUUUUCCAAAACGGCUGGAUGGAUCCGCGAACUGAAUGUGGUUCCAUAUAGUACUCGAGUCCCUCAAUAAGAACAUGAAAAAAAAUCAGAGGUGGUGUCGCGACUCUAUUUAAGUUUUGUUCAACCCCACCGUGAAAAAUAGCUAAAAAUU